GAGUAACGCGUAGGUAACCUGCCUACUAGCGGGGGAUAACUAUUGGAAACGAUAGCUAAUACCGCAUAACAGCAUUUAACACAUGUUAGAUGCUUGAAAGGAGCAAUUGCUUCACUAGUAGAUGGACCUGCGUUGUAUUAGCUAGUUGGUGAGGUAACGGCUCACCAAGGCGACGAUACAUAGCCGACCUGAGAGGGUGAUCGGCCACACUGGGACUGAGACACGGCCCAGACUCCUACGGGAGGCAGCAGUAGGGAAUCUUCGGCAAUGGGGGCAACCCUGACCGAGCAACGCCGCGUGAGUGAAGAAGGUUUUCGGAUCGUAAAGCUCUGUUGUAAGAGAAGAACGUGUGUGAGAGUGGAAAGUUCACACAGUGACGGUAACUUACCAGAAAGGGACGGCUAACUACGUGCCAGCAGCCGCGGUAAUACGUAGGUCCCGAGCGUUGUCCGGAUUUAUUGGGCGUAAAGCGAGCGCAGGCGGUUUAAUAAGUCUGAAGUUAAAGGCAGUGGCUUAACCAUUGUUCGCUUUGGAAACUGUUAGACUUGAGUGCAGAAGGGGAGAGUGGAAUUCCAUGUGUA
RNAcentral lists this ribosomal RNA (581 nucleotides) under Streptococcus lutetiensis. Its description in RNAcentral is "bacterial SSU rRNA". It matches the Rfam family "Bacterial small subunit ribosomal RNA", at positions 108 to 677 of the family's 1533-position model. The record is from RNAcentral. Lineage: Bacteria; Bacillati; Bacillota; Bacilli; Lactobacillales; Streptococcaceae.